GAGCGUGCGAAGGCGCAAGCCGCUGUAUACGCUCUGACGCCUGCCCGGUGCCGGAAGGUUAAGAGGAUCCGUCAGCUUCUGCGAAGCGGUGAAUUCAAGCCCCGGUAAACGGCGGUGGUAACUAUAACCAUCCUAAGGUAGCGAAAUUCCUUGUCGGGUAAGUUCCGACCUGCACGAAUGGCGUAACGACUUCCCCACUGUCUCGACCAGGAGCUCGGCGAAAUUGCAGUACGAGUAAAGAUGCUCGUUAAGCGCAGAAGGACGAAAAGACCCCGGGACCUUUACUAUACCUUGGUAUUGGCAUUAGGCGCGGAUUGUGUAGCAUAGGCGGGAGGCUUCGAGGCGGGUGCGCCAGCAUCCGCGGAGCCGCAAGGUGAAAUACCGCUCUGUUCUCGUUUGAUGUCUAACCUCGAACAGUCAUCCUGUUCAGGGACAGUGCCUGGCGGGUAGUUCAACUGGGGCGGUUGCCUCCCAAAGAGUAACGGAGGCGCUCAAAGGUCCGCUCGGCCCGGUUGGCAAUCGGGUGUCGAGUGUAAUCGCACAAGCGGGCUUGACUGCGAGAUCGACGGAUCGAGCAGGGACGAAAGUCGGAGAUAGUGAUCCGGUGCCGGCGCACGGGCGCGGCAUCGCUCAACGGAUAAAAGGUACCCCGGGGAUAACAGGCUGAUCAUUCCCAAGAGUCCAUAUCGACGGGAUGGUUUGGCACCUCGAUGUCGGCUCGUCGCAUCCUGGGGCUGGAGCAGGUCCCAAGGGUUCGGCUGUUCGCCGAUCAAAGCGGCACGCGAGCUGGGUUCAGAACGUCGUGAGACAGUUUGGUCUCUAUCCUCUGCGCUCGUUGGAAUCUUGAGGAGGCCUGCCCAUAGUACGAGAGGACCUGGGUGGACGAACCUCUGGUAUGCCGGUCGUCACGCCAGUGGCGCGGCCGGUUGGCUACGUUCGGAAGGGAUAACCGCUGAAAGCAUCUAAGCGGGAAGCCUUCUCCAAGAUAAGGAUUCCAUGCGGCCCCGAGCCGCUGAAGACCCCAUGCAGAACACGUGGUCGAUAGGCCGGACGUGGAAGCCCCGCGAGGGGUGGAGCCGACCGGUACUAAUGGUCGAGAGGCAACCCACA
RNAcentral lists this ribosomal RNA (1110 nucleotides) under human gut metagenome. RNAcentral's name for it is "bacterial LSU rRNA". It matches the Rfam family "Bacterial large subunit ribosomal RNA", at positions 1819 to 2925 of the family's 2925-position model. The record is from RNAcentral.